Pelobates cultripes (western spadefoot toad) is the source of this 2619-nucleotide non-coding RNA. NCBI's taxonomy places the organism in Eukaryota, Metazoa, Chordata, Amphibia, Anura, Pelobatidae. The record is from the annotation of a GenBank genome assembly.
AUGGACAAUCAUGGUCAAUGAGACAAGGGUCUCACAAAUAAGGAAGUAGCAUUGACAAUGGGCAGCUCUACAAACCAUUAGGAAGGUAGAGCAACCCGCUGGGGUGGAAUUGUCACAAUCUGUUAGUCUGUAUGGAAAAGAAAGUGUGGUCAAAUCCACAAGUAAACACAGCUUGCAUGAUGUCAUAUGUGCCAUGACAGCAAGGCCAGUUUAAGAACUCAUUGGGCCUGGUGCUGUCAAUUAUGAUGGGUCUAAUUACAAAAUUAUAUCGACAAAAGCUACUUAAAGUCAUACCUCCCAAGCAUCAUGUAUGUGGUGGAGAUGGUGCUGGAGGGAAACCUAUAUCCUCAAAUUAGAAAACACAUACCCUAUACUAAUCUCCAGCUUUCAUCUUUCAAGUAAAUCCAUCUCCCCUAACCGCAGGUUUGGUGAAGCAGAAUGUCGGUGGGAAGGGUAAAAGGGUGGGCAACUGACUGGGCGGUUCUGGUUCACAUAACCAGAACUGCCCAAAGGGACAAACAUGCCCAAAAAGGAUGUGGGGCGGGCGGUAGGGAGCAGGGCACUCCAGGAUUCUACAGUGCCAGGAAAACAAGCACCUCUAAAGCGGCACUGUCAUGCCGAACUUACCUCUCUUUAAUCGAUUCCUCUUCUCCCUCUUUCAGGAUCUGUCCAUUUCUUCCUGUCCGCUCUAGUUUUCUUUAAAACAUAAGACAAAGUAAGAGACUACUUUGUCUUAUGGAGGUUUCCUACGCCUGACCAGCGGAGGAGCAAAGUGUGCUUUAUUUCCUGUUGUCAGAGCAAUUUUCCCACAAUUCUUACCUUUGAUCCGUGAUCUUGCGAUGCUUCCUGUCAGUAUUCCCAAACGUCCUGUCACUUAGACAGGACGCGGUGAUACUACCGAAUUUUGGUAGUAGAGAACAGUUUCUCCAGUUGUGUUAGGACGCAAUUGAGGACUUUGUUCGGAUCAGAAUUUCAUUCAUAUGAAUGAAACUCCGAUCCUAUUCGUGCGGCGGCCGCAUCUUGUACUUAGUAGAUAACUCCCUAAUUCCCACGGUAUCAGGGAGCUAUCUACCAAAAGAUUGAAAGACCUAAAUUGGUCUUUCAGCCGAAUUUACUAAUGCUAAGUAAAGAUUACUUAGUGUAACGGCUACCCAGCUGGAAAGGGGUAUCUGCCGUUAGAGACGUCCUUUUUCUAGGCAAGCUGCUGUGAAGUAAUGGAGAUCUUAUUCCCAUCCACGAUAUCCAAGUGUAUAAUCCGGCAUUGCUGUAAAAUGAGGCAGAGUAACGGUACCAUAAAUCCCCUCCAAGAACGAGACGAGGCUACGUUUUGAAGGGUCAAGUAGAACUGAUGUUUAUUGACAGGGAUCUCCUUUUAUGCAAUGGUGCCCUCUGAAAGGCUACACCUACAUAGUUCUACAUAAAACCCCCACGUCUUCUCCCCUCAUAAACAUAUUGAAGUUUUGACCGACCGCACAGGUUUUCUAGCCGAAAAGAGUUCCAUAAGUUUUGGCCUUGUGGUCAGUCUCUGUUCGUGCAUUAAAACCCCACGAACCCCUUGCCAUCCACAGUCAUCCUGGUGUUCGCUGAAAUCCCUAUGUGAGUUUAAGCAAAACUACCGAACGGCCGGUUGUUCGGUAGUUCCAGCACGAACUUACGAGCUCCUGGAGGUCUCAGCGGUGUUCGCCUGUUUGCGUAUCUGAUUUUAGUUCCAUGCGUUCACGGUCAAACACCGCUGUUCGUGCGUAAGAUGGCCGCGAACAUGUGUAAAGUUCCCGAAAUGGCGGCCAUCUAACCUGAGCACAAAGGGAUUCGUGUGAAACCAUGCGAACGGCUCCAAAAGCGCUGGGAGGUAAAAUACCAUUUAACUGUUCCCUUGGGUGGUCCGAUGUUCGGUAUUUUGAGCUGUAUUCUCCGGUAAGGAUAUUUCCACGAACUAGUCAUUCGGUUUUUGUAAUAAAUCCAGCGGCAUUGAUAUAUAAGUCCAGGCAAAAAGCAUAGGCAAAAGCAUAGUUCUGUUACACUUAGUAUUAGUAAAUUCUGCUCUACUCGCUAGGCUGCGAGUAGGGGCAUGUCUAGUAAACAGUGAGCAGCCUGUGGAGUAGAGGGGUUUCGCAGACCAAUCAGAAGAAAGGGCACAAAGCCCGAUUGCACCAAUCCGCUGAAAGGUGCGAAACCAAUUUGUGCCAAUCAGCUCACGGGGCCGAGAGGGGCUUCGUGCACCAGAGCGCCCCAUCUGGUUGAGGUCUGUGGUUUUCACACCAUUCUAACGGAACGUUCUAAAUGGAGUAUUGGGGUGGUCCAGCACACAGGGCUUCGUGCGCCAGAGCGCCCCCAUGUGGUUCAAAGGUACUUUGCAGGAUUUAAGGUCAAAAUUUAUAGAAAGGGAGAUUACCAAGGAAACACACAUUCCAGGAGGGCACAUCCACACAUAAGAAAAGGGCAAUUCACAGUUAAGCAGGGGUCCUGCCACAGUCCCAAUGCCCCUAGUCCCCCACCCACACAAAAAAAAAUGAAUAAACCCCAACCUACCCCCCUCAACCUAAAAAUAGUGAGCAGGGAACAAUAAAACGAAAUCCCUGUAAAUAAAAAAAUAUUUACCAUUUGAUGUUUUCUUUUUUC